Sinocyclocheilus rhinocerous is the source of this 1400-nucleotide RNA transcript. It is a transcript of the gene named translin, with no coding region annotated. The record is from RefSeq and is a predicted model, not a curated record. The transcript has 7 exons. Lineage: Eukaryota; Metazoa; Chordata; Actinopteri; Cypriniformes; Cyprinidae.
AUCAUUACAUCAUUAUAAUGCGACGAACUGAGGAAGGGCAGAUGUUAACGUGCAUGCUGAUGACUCCAAUUAUAACUACAGGCUGUUUGGUUCGCGAGCACGACGAUUAAUAAACAGUCUCUGUUUACAUCCAUACACUAUCAAAAUAGUGUAUAUUUUUGGAGCAGCUGGUCACAGUAAAGAGCGACGCACCAGCCAGCACAUUUGAAGAUGUCUGUAACGGAGAUGUUUAGCUACAUCCAAGGAUUUUUGAGUGCUGAUCAAGAUAUUCGAGAGGACAUAAGAAAAGUUGUCCAAGUUCUGGAGCAGACAGCAAGAGAGAUCCUCACUGUUCUUCAAAGUGUCCAUCAACCAAGUGGUUUCAAAGACAUUCCCAGCAAGUGUUUGAAGGCUAGAGAGCUGUUCUGCACUGUAAGAAACCACACUGGAGAGCUGAAAACUAAGUUCCCUGUGGAACAGUACUAUCGGUAUCAUGAACACUGGAGAUUUGUUCUUCAACGACUUGCCUUCCUUGCGGCUUUUGUGGUAUACCUGGAAAGCGAGUCCUUGGUUACACGCGAGGAAGUGGCAAAAAUACUUGCCAUUGAAGUCGACAGAGAAAAAGGGUUUCAUUUGGAUGUGGAAGACUAUCUUGCAGGAGUUCUUAUUUUGGCCAGUGAGCUGUCGAGGCUGGCAGUGAACAGCGUGACCGCAGGAGACUAUGGACGUCCGCUUAGGAUCUCAAACUUUAUCAACGAACUUGACUCUGGCUUUCGGUUGCUCAACUUAAAAAACGACCCUCUUCGCAAGCGCUACGACGGCCUCAAGUACGAUGUGAAGAAGAUCGAGGAGGUGGUGUACGAUCUCUCAAUCCGAGGCCUUGCUAAGGAGCAGGAGGCUGGAGGAGAUAAGUAGAAGCGGUGUGGGAACGCAAGAGGCUGCGGGGCACUACCCUGGCUGAGAUUCUCCACGACUGGAAGAGUGGUUAAACCUGUCUGUGAGCAGGUGGUCGGAGGAAGAGGGGAGGGAAUGGAGGUUUUAAAGCCCCAGCAGCCUUGGGCGGUAUCUUUUAAGCCACCUGCCCACCAUGACCGAGAUCAGUUCAGGUUUUAGUGGGGAGAUCUCUUUCUCACGUUUGUUGAGAGAUGCUUAUGUACAGAUGCAUUUGUUUGCCUGUUUUUUUUCCCUUCUUUUUUUGAUUGGAUGCUUUUUACUAUUAUUGAUGUUUUUGUCUCGGCCAUGUCUCUUGUGAAUCAUUGUGCAGUCAAACAAGAAGGAAAAAAAAAAAUUUUUUUGGGUGGGAGAUACUUAAAAAUGCUGUUAAAAACCGAAGUUCUGUGCCUGUUUUGUGGCUUUGUGUCCAGUUGAGUCAUCAAGAUGUUUUCUUGAUGUUAAACUACAUAAAUAUUACAUUUGACACA